This 492-nucleotide ribosomal RNA is filed under the name uncultured bacterium. RNAcentral describes it as "partial 16S ribosomal RNA". It matches the Rfam family "Bacterial small subunit ribosomal RNA", at positions 30 to 507 of the family's 1533-position model. The record is from RNAcentral.
AUUGAACGCUGGCGGCAUGCUUUACACAUGCAAGUCGAACGGUAACAGGCCUUCGGGUGCUGACGAGUGGCGAACGGGUGAGUAAUGCAUCGGAACGUGCCCAGAGGUGGGGGAUAACGCAGCGAAAGCUGUGCUAAUACCGCAUGUGAUCUGAGGAUGAAAGCGGGGGACCAGGCAGCAAUGUUUGGCCUCGCGCCUUUGGAGCGGCCGAUGUCAGAUUAGGUAGUUGGUGGGGUAAAGGCCUACCAAGCCGACGAUCUGUAGCUGGUCUGAGAGGACGACCAGCCACACUGGGACUGAGACACGGCCCAGACUCCUACGGGAGGCAGCAGUGGGGAAUUUUGGACCAUGGGCGCAAGCCUGAUCCAGCAAUGCCGCGUGCGGGAAGAAGGCCUUCGGGUUGUAAACCGCUUUUGUACGGAACGAAAAGGCUCUGGCUAAUACCUGGGGCUGAUGACGGUACCGUAAGAAUAAGCACCGGCUAACUACGUG